GAUGAACGCUGGCGGCGUGCCUAAUACAUGCAAGUCGAGCGAACAGACGAGGAGCUUGCUCCUCUGACGUUAGCGGCGGACGGGUGAGUAACACGUGGAUAACCUACCUAUAAGACUGGGAUAACUUCGGGAAACCGGAGCUAACACCGGAUAAUAUAUUGAACCGCAUGGUUCAAUAGUGAAAGACGGUUUUGCUGUCACUUAUAGAUGGAUCCGCGCCGCAUUAGCUAGUUGGUAAGGUAACGGCUUACCAAGGCAACGAUGCGUAGCCGACCUGAGAGGGUGAUCGGCCACACUGGAACUGAGACACGGUCCAGACUCUUACGGGAGGCAGCAGUAGGGAAUCUUCCGCAAUGGGCGAAAGCCUGACGGAGCAACGCCGCGUGAGUGAUGAAGGUCUUCGGAUCGUAAAACUCUGUUAUUAGGGAAGAACAAAUGUGUAAGUAACUAUGCACGUCUUGACGGUACCUAAUCAGAAAGCCACGGCUAACUACGUG
This 497-nucleotide ribosomal RNA is filed under the name uncultured bacterium. Its description in RNAcentral is "partial 16S ribosomal RNA". It matches the Rfam family "Bacterial small subunit ribosomal RNA", at positions 28 to 507 of the family's 1533-position model. The record is from RNAcentral.